AAUUGGAGGGCAAGUCUGGUGCCAGCAGCCGCGGUAAUUCCAGCUCCAAUAGCGUAUAUUAAAGUUGUUGCAGUUAAAAAGCUCGUAGUUGAAUUUCGGGAUCAAUAUUUCGGUCAUGCCGUUGGUAUGCACUGUUAUCAUUGAUUUCUCACCUUCUAGAGAACCGUAAUGCCAUUAAUUUGGUGUUACGGGGAAUUAGGACUGUUACCUUGAAAAAAUUAGAGUGUUUAAAGCAGGCUCACGCUUGAAUACAUUAGCAUGGAAUAAUGAAAUAGGACAUCCGAUUCUAUUUUGUUGGUUUCUAGGAUCGAUGUAAUGAUUAAUAGGGAUAGUUGGGGGCAUUAGUAUUCAAUUGUCAGAGGUGAAAUUCUUGGAUUUAUUGAAGACUAACUACUGCGAAAGCAUUUGCCAAGGAUGUUUUCAUUAAUCAAGAACGAAAGUUAGGGGAUCGAAGACGAUCAGAUACCGUCGUAGUCUUAACCAUAAACUAUGCCGACUAGGGAUCGGAUGAUGUUAAUUUUUUAAUGACUCAUUCGGCGCCUUACGGGAAACCAAAGUGU
RNAcentral lists this ribosomal RNA (560 nucleotides) under uncultured Glomus. Its description in RNAcentral is "SSU rRNA". It matches the Rfam family "Eukaryotic small subunit ribosomal RNA", at positions 546 to 1106 of the family's 1831-position model. Lineage: Eukaryota; Fungi; Glomeromycota; Glomeromycetes; Glomerales; Glomeraceae. The record is from RNAcentral.